AACCUGCCCACGGCUAAGCAUCUCUGAUUUCUUCAGCUUCUUCAUGGCAAAAAUUUCCCCAGUUCCUUUUGCACGACACAAUCUAACCUCGCCGAAUGCACCUUUACCAAUAACUGUUAAUUGCUCAAAGUCAUCGAUUCCAACUUUACGUCUUUGCAGUCUCAUAAAUUCUGUUUCUCUGCGUUCCAAGUUCCUCAGCAUCUCUUCUUGUUCUUCAGCCGACAUCUGAGCUUCUUGCGCUCUUCGUUGAAGAGUUCUUCGUCUGUCUUUGCGAUCCUGAAGACCUUGGAGAUAGUUCUUGUAAUGAUUCUCUAUGAACUGUUUAGCAGCAGCGGCUUUCUGCCUUGUGACCGGAGACGAAACAGACACAUCGGGGCCUAAAUCAAAGGCGCUCCGAUCCGGCUUCAAGUUCACUGCCCCAAGCCUCACAGUCCCAUCAGCACCGUCCAUUUUGCUCCGCUUUGAACAAAAUAAAGUUUCAAUUCAAUCGGUAAGCUCCCAUUCGCCCAAAAUUGAGGAAUCUAUACAAG
This 530-nucleotide unclassified non-coding RNA is filed under the name Hevea brasiliensis (rubber tree). Lineage: Eukaryota; Viridiplantae; Streptophyta; Magnoliopsida; Malpighiales; Euphorbiaceae. The record is from RNAcentral.